GCUGGGUGUGGUGCCUCACACCUGUAAUCCCAGCUACUCAGGAGGCUGAGGCAGGAGGAUCACUUAAACCCAGGAGUUCAAGGCUUCAGUGAGCUAUGAUGGCACCACUGUACUCCAGCCUGGGCAAUGAAGUGAGACUUUGUCUCUA
Molecule: unclassified non-coding RNA, 148 nt
Organism: Papio anubis (olive baboon)
Lineage: Eukaryota; Metazoa; Chordata; Mammalia; Primates; Cercopithecidae
Rfam family: Metazoan signal recognition particle RNA
About the family: The signal recognition particle (SRP) is a universally conserved ribonucleoprotein. It is involved in the co-translational targeting of proteins to membranes. The eukaryotic SRP consists of a 300-nucleotide 7S RNA and six proteins: SRPs 72, 68, 54, 19, 14, and 9.
Source: Ensembl